RNAcentral lists this ribosomal RNA (248 nucleotides) under uncultured bacterium. RNAcentral describes it as "partial 16S ribosomal RNA". It matches the Rfam family "Bacterial small subunit ribosomal RNA", at positions 524 to 768 of the family's 1533-position model. The record is from RNAcentral.
UACGUAGGGUGCAAGCGUUAUCCGGAAUUAUUGGGCGUAAAGAGCUCGUAGGCGGUUUGUCGCGUCUGCUGUGAAAACUGGAGGCUCAACCUCCAGCCUGCCAGUGGGUACGGGGCGAGACUAGAGUGCGGUAGGGGAGAUUGGAAUUCCUGGUGUAGCGGUGGAAUGCGCAGAUAUCAGGAGGAACACCGAUGGCGAAGGCGGCAUCCUGGACCAUUACUGACACUGAAAAGCGAAAGCCAGGGGAG